UGUUUGGUCUUGUUUCCAUGGCAACUUGCUAGACCCCUCCUCCACUCUGUCCAAGGGGCAAUGCUGGUCCAGGACAUGAAGGUGACCCUGAGCCCACAGCUCCACCUCACACUUGGCCUCUGGGCCUGGCCCAAUGCAGAAUCCCAGGCUGUCAUGAAGCAGCCAUGACCAUCCGCCUCACCAGCCUCACCUCCAAGGCGCUUGCCCACCUCGUGGAAGGGUGCCAGCUGCCGCCAGCACGUCCGCACAGUACAGGAGCCUGACACGCCGUGGCACUUGCAUGUGGUCUCCACCCCGGCCUUGAUUACCUGGUAGGGGAGGGGGCUGAGCAUGAGGGCCACACUGAGAGGCUGGGCACAGCCCCUGCAGAUGACCCCCAGAGGGGCUCGACCACACAGCUCCCCCGGAUCCAAGCCCAGCCUGAGGGACCACCACUACCCAUCACCCGGGCUUCCUGGCUCUUGCACCUGUCCCUCCACCUCCAAGCCACAGAUGUCCCCAGACAGAAGCCCUACGUCCAGUACCAUGGCCUCCAGAGUGGCCACUGCAGCACCUGUGGCCCUGUGGAGACAUUCCCUCCUUGCAUCCAGGGCUCCCCUCUGAAGGGACUGAGCAAGCCUCCCCUCUAGCCCUGCUGUCAAUGCCCCAACAGGAACCCCCAGUCUGGGCUCAGCAGCCUACUAGCCUACUUCCUGGAGAAGUGAGGAGAAACGAGUUAGCUGGCCCAGUUGGCAGAACUGGCCCCCGGAUCUUCCAGGUCAGCCCCAGAGGGGAGGGACGGUACCCCCACUUCCACACACACGCACAGAGCUGCCCUAAGGGGCCUCCUGCCUGACCACCCACACUGGGGUCCCUGGCAGCAGAGAGCGGAGGAGGCCCUCUCUAGUGGGCCCCAUCCCAGGAUAGGCCUGAACUCCCAUGCUGCCCUCAGGGAGGGCUGGCUGGCUUGAGGGGGAUUAGGAAAUGUGGCUGCCCUCUGGCCCGGCAAUAGAAGAGUCACAUUUAAUGACACUCUGCUGAGAAACCUGGACAAAUUUAAUUAAAACGCUGCUUACCCAGGCCCGGCA
Neofelis nebulosa (Clouded leopard) is the source of this 1067-nucleotide long non-coding RNA. RefSeq lists it as uncharacterized. The transcript has 2 exons. The record is from RefSeq and is a predicted model, not a curated record. NCBI's taxonomy places the organism in Eukaryota, Metazoa, Chordata, Mammalia, Carnivora, Felidae.